Molecule: ribosomal RNA, 381 nt
Filed under: uncultured bacterium
Lineage: Bacteria
Description: bacterial SSU rRNA
Rfam family: Bacterial small subunit ribosomal RNA
Source: RNAcentral
UGAGGAAUAUUGCUCAAUGGGCGAAAGCCUGAAGCAGCAACGCCGCGUGCGCGAUGAAGGUCUUCGGUUCGUAAAGCGCUUUUGAGAGGGACGAGAUAGGACGGUACCUCUUGAAUAAGUCACGGCUAACUACGUGCCAGCAGCCGCGGUAAAACGUAGGUGGCAAGCGUUCUCCGGAUUCACUGGGCGUAAAGCGCGUGCAGGUGGCUUCGUAAGUUGGACGUUAAAUCUUUCGGCCUAACCGGGAGGUGUCGUUCAAUACUGCGGGGCUUGAGGGUAGAAGAGGGGGGUGGAAUUGCCGGUGUAGUGGUGAAAUGCGUAGAUAUCGGCAGGAACACCUGUGGCGAAAGCGGCCCCCUGGUCUGCUCCUGACACUCAGAC